AUUGUUAAUGCUUCUAUAUGAUCAUCAUAUAGAUCCAUUACCAAUGUCGCGGGCAUGCGAGGGAUUAUAUUUAUUUUGUAAGGAACUUAACAGUUCAAUGU
Bradysia coprophila is the source of this 101-nucleotide long non-coding RNA. The record is from RefSeq and is a predicted model, not a curated record. NCBI's taxonomy places the organism in Eukaryota, Metazoa, Arthropoda, Insecta, Diptera, Sciaridae.